CAGUCGCCACGGUAAUACAGAGGGUGCGAGCGUUAAUCGGAUUUACUGGGCGUAAAGCGUGCGUAGGCGGCUUCUUAAGUCGGAUGUGAAAUCCCUGAGCUUAACUUAGGAAUUGCAUUCGAUACUGGGAAGCUAGAGUAUGGGAGAGGAUGGUAGAAUUCCAGGUGUAGCGGUGAAAUGCGUAGAGAUCUGGAGGAAUACCGAUGGCGAAGGCAGCCAUCUGGCCUAAUACUGACGCUGAGGUACGAAAGCAUGGGGAGCAAACAGGAUUAGAUACCCCCGUAGUCCCUGUCCUUAUACA
Molecule: ribosomal RNA, 301 nt
Filed under: uncultured bacterium
Lineage: Bacteria
Description: partial 16S ribosomal RNA
Rfam family: Bacterial small subunit ribosomal RNA
Source: RNAcentral